AGAGUUUGAUCAUGGCUCAGAACGAACGCUGGCGGCAGGCCUAACACAUGCAAGUCGAGCGCCCGCAAGGGAGCGGCAGACGGGUGAGUAACGCGUGGGAACGUGCCCUUUGGUUCGGAAUAUUCCCGGGAAACUGGGAGCAAAACCGGAUAAGCCCUUCGGGGGGAAGUUUACGCCAAAGGAUCGGCCCGCGUUAGAUUAGGUAGUUGGUGGGGUAACGGCCUACCAAGCCUACGAUCUAUAGCUGAUCUGAGAGGAUGAUCAGCCACACUGGGACUGAGACACGGCCCAGACUCCUACGGGAGGCAGCAGUGGGGAAUCUUGGACAAUGGGCGCAAGCCUGAUCCAGCCAUGCCGCGUGGAUGACUGAAGGCCCUAGGGUUGUAAAGUCCUUUCGACGGGGACGAUAAUGACGGUACCCGUAGAAGAAGCCCCAGCUAACUUCGUGCCAGCAGCCGCGGUAAUACGAAGGGGGCUAGCGUUGUUCGGAUUUACUGGGCGUAAAGGGCGCGUAGGCGGAUUUUUAAGUCGGGGGUGAAAUCCCGGAGCUCAACUCCGGAACUGCCUUCGAUACUGAAAGUCUGGAGCACGGUAGAGGUGAGUGGAAUUCCGAGUGUAGAGGUGAAAUUCGUAGAUAUUCGGAGGAACACCAGUGGCGAAGGCGGCUCACUGGACCGUUGCUGACGCUGAGGCGCGAAAGCGUGGGGAGCAAACAGGAUUAGAUACCCCGGUAGU
Molecule: ribosomal RNA, 735 nt
Filed under: uncultured bacterium
Lineage: Bacteria
Description: bacterial SSU rRNA
Rfam family: Bacterial small subunit ribosomal RNA
Source: RNAcentral